Molecule: long non-coding RNA, 316 nt
Filed under: Ananas comosus (pineapple)
Lineage: Eukaryota; Viridiplantae; Streptophyta; Magnoliopsida; Poales; Bromeliaceae
Description: long non-coding RNA (ACOM_LNC043550)
Source: RNAcentral
UGAUGGCGUCGUGGUUUCGGCGUGUUUGACGGCGGUUCGUGGAUUCGGAUCAUGGGCUCGUGGAUUCGAGUGGCGUUCGUGGAUUCGAACGUGUGCGAGGCGUUCGUGGAUUCGAACGUGUGGGCGUGGACAACCCGGAGGAUUGCGCGAGAUUCAUAGGAGGUUAAGAGAGGUUGAGUCCGUGGAGUUGGUAAUCACCUUGUAAUCUUUUCUCUUAAUGAAUUAUUUUUUCGCGUGUUGGUCCUGUGGGUUUUUCUCCAAGUUGGAGUUUUCCCACGUAAAUCUCGGUGUAAUUUUUAUUUUCCGCAUUUAUUUU